CAAUGUUAGCAAGGUCAGCACCUACAAAGCCCUGGGUAAGAGAUGCAACCAAGUUACAUACAAGCUCCAGGUCCUCCUCAAGGGGAACUUCUCUCAAGUGUACAGCCAGGAUCUUUCUCCUCCCAUCUUCAUCAGGUUCCCCCACUAAGAUUUUCCUGGAGAAGCGUCCAGGCCGACAUAGUGCUGGAUCUAGAGCUUCUGGUCUAUUAGUUGCAGCAACUACAAUGAUAUUCAAGUCCGAUUCAAAGCCGUCCAUCUCCGUAAGCAACUAGAAAAGAAGAAGGGUUUUUAGGGAAAACAAUGCAUAUUUUGACCAACAAAUAUAAGUAUCAAUUCUAGUCUAGAACACAGUGUUUCAACUCCUUUCUCCUACAUCCUAACUGCCUUUGCUAUCCCAAAAAUUAGACCAAUCUUGUAUUUGAAAAACAGCAAAUACACAAUUAACAUUUAACAGCAUUUAGUUACCGUGUCAUUACUAACAAUCAUUUUGUUAUUUGUCAAUUGUAUCCUGUCCGAAAAAUGAGAAAAAAUAAUGCAUAAAACAUAAAAUUCAACUAAAUGGAAUAAGAAGUAUCAGUUUGACCCUCAUGACCUAAUAUAAAUCAAAUUUUGGGACACAAGGAGUAAUUGAUCGAGUAUAAGAGAAGAUAGAAAAUAUGGCUCAACUCUUAAGAAAAAUCUGGUUUUCUAUGAACUUUUAAAAGUCCAAAUGCAGAAUUGGAACUCCAUAUGGAGAUGGACCAUGGCAAAAACUUCCCAGAAAAAUAAUUAUAUAUGUAGUUAAUUGAAGAAGGGGAAAAGCGGAGUCUCUGGAAGAAUAUCUAGAACGCCAAAGCACCAUAGUAGUGUUGGAAUGAGGGACAAGGUUUUAAUAGCAAAAACUUAAGGAAGAGGAGGUGACUUGCUGUGAGCUGGUGUAAAAUCAUCAUGUUCUGGAGUAAGGCUAGGACAUGGACCACCUCUAUUGCAUUGCAUACUUUCCUCAAAAUAUCGAUCCUAGUAUCCUUGUACAUUUCACUGAAGCAUAGCAGGUUGGAGGCUACAGAAGAAUGGUAGAAAAAGGAAAGCAGCUUCGCAAACAAACAUCACUGUGUCUUUUUGGGAUUAUGUUUGGUGAAAGAAUAGGAUAUUAUUUCAGAUCAGCAGGAAAGAUAAAAANUCCUCCUCAAGGGGAACUUCUCUCAAGUGUACAGCCAGGAUCUUUCUCCUCCCAUCUUCAUCAGGUUCCCCCACUAAGAUUUUCCUGGAGAAGCGUCCAGGCCGACAUAGUGCUGGAUCUAGAGCUUCUGGUCUAUUAGUUGCAGCAACUACAAUGAUAUUCAAGUCCGAUUCAAAGCCGUCCAUCUC
This 1347-nucleotide long non-coding RNA is filed under the name Solanum pimpinellifolium. RNAcentral describes it as "long non-coding RNA (SPIM_LNC000071)". The record is from RNAcentral. Lineage: Eukaryota; Viridiplantae; Streptophyta; Magnoliopsida; Solanales; Solanaceae.